UUUUUUUUUUUUUUUUUUUUUUUGUCGUCACACCUUCUUUGUCUUAGAUGCCAGAAAUCCAUCUUGAAGAGGAUAAGCAAAGCAUCCUGCCAUGUGCACACCCAGGGCCGGCUCCCCCCAUAAAUCCUGCUGGCAUACCCCGAUUACUUACCAUAAUCUGGCAGUUGUGCCCAGGUCAACAGCACCUGGAUUGCAUUAUGCUGCAGGCGAAAUUCACUGCAGACCAGGUCCUCCUGAGGCCUGCAAUUGGAUCUUCAAGCUAGAAAGGCCUGGUGUGAAUACCAGGGUAUGAGGGCUGGGGGAGACAGUCUCCAGAAUUGAGAGGUGAUCACAGUAUAUAUGGUGAGGGAGUGGGAAAGUAAGACAGGAAGAGGACGGAAGCACAAAGCACACACGUGAUCUGGUCUGGCCAAUAAGAGGCGGUCUCAGAUGACUGGUGCAAGGAUGCACACGUGACACCAGAGACUGGCCAAUGAAACUCAACCCUGGGACAUUCUCUGCAGCCCUGAGGUGGCUCAGAUGAAAGAUGAAUGUCCCUGCUGGUAACAUCUCUGCCAUCAUUUGAAGAAAGUCUGCCAAAGGGUGAGUCUGCUCCAGAGGAAAACAGAGCCAAGAAACAGAGAGAAAACGGUUCCUGAUAACAUUGUCGAGCACGUGGACUCAGCCCUGCUGGAAACGAGAUACCAUGAGCUUUUCAGUGAUGUGAUCAAAUAAAUUUCCCUUUUUAGCCUAAAGCUCCCUCAGUUGAACUUCUGACACUUAUAUCCCUGGGAAUAAAGGAAAGUAUGAUCACCCCAAUGCACCCCUUGGAGCCCAUCCUACCCUGUCAUCCAUGUAGAGCUAGACGGCACAGCUCUACGAGCACAUAUGUUGUAAUUUUUAGGUUAACAAGCCAAACUUUCCUUGAGUGAAUGCUUCUGAAGGUAUGAACAAUAUUUCUCAUUCAUUCAUGCCUUCUGUAAACAUUUGGUGAAUGCCUUAUAUGUGCCCAACCUUGUGCCAAGUACUGGGGGUAUAGAAAUUAACUAAGCACCAUCCACAUCUCCAGUCCUGGUAGAGGAGAGGAGAAAUGCAAAGAGAGACAGACUGCUGAACACAGAGACGUGGGUUCUCAUCCCAGCUCCCUCUCAAACUACACAUAGAAGAGGACUCUACCCAAAACUCAUGGGUAGAGUGAGUUUCCCCCAUGCUGAAGGAAACACUCUACCUCAACAGGCUCCAGGGAAUUUUCAAGACCAGAGAGUGUCCCAGAGUUUGAGCCAAGAUGUGCAACUAAGUAUAGAUUCAUUCUAUUUGAUCAGAAACCAUCAGGAAUUAAUUUACAGCGUAAGGUGAACAUAAAUAAAGUCAUAUCCAGGCCAGGGUUCUUAAGAAAAGGGCAGGCCUUGCCCUUAUUCUUUGCCCUUAUUCUUUCUUCUGCCAGUUGGAAACAGGACAGUGUGACCAUGAAGAGUGGAAGAGUCACAAUGUGCCAGAAGCCUGGGUCCCUGAAUCACUACAGGAGGAAGGCUGUUCCUCUACAGAAACAGUUACUCGAAUAAGAAACCAACUUCUCUAUUGUGUUAAACCACCGAAAUUCUGGGGCUUCUUUGUUACGGCAUCUACCAUGCUCUUUACAUCCUUUGAAUUAGAAUGUGCUUCACCCAUCCCACACAGAUGGAUUACCUGCUAUUCUUCAAAACCAAGAGAAAGGGAUUUUUCAGCUUUAUUUGAUAAGCAUUCUCAUUAAUAUUUUCCAGGAAUCUGUUCAUGUCUACAGGUCAGCAUCCGUGCCUUAUUCAUUUCUGUAGCUUUUACACAUUGCACAAAUAGCAGGUUUAACAGAAAAGGGAACAGCUUGUUGAGGGAAGGAAGGAAGGAAGGCUUUCUUUUUGUCUAACCCAGGGCUAGGGGCCAUUUUACCCACAGAGGACAUCUGGCAACUCCUGGAGGCAUUUUUUGGUUGUCACAGCCAGGGAUCAUUACUGGGCAGAGGCCAGAGGUACUGAGAAACCGCUCAUAAUACACAGUACAGUCCCCAUGACAAAGAAUUUCCUGCUCAAAUGUCCAUAGUACCAAGGGUGAAAAACCCCGGUGUAACCUGAGGUUACCUCCUUACAGCCCCAACUUGAUCAAAUAAUCAUUUCAUCACUUUUUCAGGCCUCCUUCUCUUACUGAACUCUGCUAGGUCCUGAUGCCAGUGGACACUUUUUCUAAUCUUCUUAAUUCACAAGACAUCAAUUUUCUAGAUGUGUCAGAAUAUUGCCUCUUGAUUCAAUUACUCUCUUUUUUAAAAUUCAUUAAGUGAAAGAGAAUGGGAGGGAAGAGACAGACACACACAGAGAGAUGGGGAGUAGUGAGCAGACCAGAAAGACUCCACAUUUAAACACAAAAGAAAACAGAUCUUCUGUCUGAAAUAUACUCAUGAUCUCUCUCUCUCUUUUCAUCUCCCUCUUCCUAUGCAGGGGCUGCCAAGAAAAGAGACUCAUGCCAGUUAGUUAAAAAAAUAAAAACAAAAAAACAGCAACUGUUGGAGUUCCCGUCGUGGCGCAGUGGUUAACGAAUCCGACUAGGAACCAUGAGGUUGUGGAUUCGAUCCCUGGCCUUGCUCAGUGGGUUAAGGAUCCCGCAUUGCCAGGAGCUGUGAUGUAGGCUGCAGAUGUGGCUCGGAUCCCGUGUUACUGUGGCUCUGGCGUAGGCCGGUGGCUACAGCUCCAAUUGGAGCCCUAGCCUGGGAAUCUCCAUAUGCCACAGGAAGCGACCCUAGAAAAGGCAAAACAAACAAACAAACAAACAAAAAAUCAACUGUUUAUUGUAAGGACACUUGCAGACUGCCACUAGAAAGCUUUCACAUUCUUAUCCUCUCUCUACCUCUAUCUCUCUGCAUGGUCUCUCACUUCUGCCCCCACCCCCGGAGUCUUCACUCUGCUGUCCCCACCCACAGAAUUCCCUUGAUCAGCUUUUCAUGGCAUCCUUUCAGCUCCCAUAUCAACCAGGCUAACUGAAAAAUCCUAUCCAACUUCCAACACACAACCCCACACUCAAGUCCAUCUUUGCAAGCCCAGCCACAAAAGUCUUCAGUCAUCAGACAGCCUAUGGAUUGGCUGCACUUUAAUCAAUCUAAAACUCUGGCCAAACCAGCCCUGCUCAGGAAGAAGGGGUGGAGCCUCAGGAAGCAGGGGCUGUGAGCAGGCAACCAUGGCAACUGGCCUCCCUGGUUCUCUGUCUCAGACAUACCCCUGCCCUCCAUCCCAAGUGAUGUCAGCCACGGCGUUUAACUGAGCUCCCAGGAGAACAAAACUACCUCCAAGGACCCAGGAGGCCGUCCUUGCAUGGGCUUGCACCCCUGCUGGGGGAAGGUCACCCAUCCCAUCUGGGAACACUUUUUUAGAGGAUCCCAACUCUUGGUCCUCAGUUUUAGCAGCUGUGAAAGGAAAGAAGAUGGGGCUUUUAAGAAUAACACUGAGAUUACCCCACAGAUAGCUUCCUCCACCAGAAUCGCUCAAAACAACAUCACCCAGCAGUGGCUGGGAUCCACAUCUCAUUCUGGAUAUCAGGCAGCUCUCAAGAAACUGAGGAACACAAAAGCACAAGUUCAUCCAUUUCCAGAAAACGCCAAUGCGAGAGGCUUCCAACACAAACAGGGUCACGGGCUGGGUCCAGCCGCAUUUCUUGAGCUUCCAGGCCCCUCCGCCUGAGUCAAAAUCAUUAUGCUGUUUCCUUCACUGCACAGGAACGUGGGGGUUUCUCUAAACUAUGACUCAUGCAAAGCACAGAGGCGAACAUGAUGAGAAACCUGUUUUCUCUGAAAAAGGAGAGUGGGCAAUUACUAAAACUUUUGACACUUUAAUACAGCACUGGCCUUGGCUAAUUUUGCUCACUAUGAAAGAUUUCAAACACCGGAAACACUGUGAGGCAAAAAGAGGGGGAGAAAAGUGAAAUGUGCAUAAAAUCCCACACAGCCUUACAAACAAGAGUGAAAUGUGGUUUAAUUAAAGUAAAAAGUUGCUUCUAGGCUCCUGAAAACACUUUUCAUAAAAACUUCAUGUCAAAUGAGCUUCGGUCCAGUCCAGCUGGAGUUCAUUCAACGCCCUUUCUUUGGGGCUUUACCAGCUGUGACAUGGGUAACCUGUUGACAAAUAUGCUAUUUUUCCAGCAGCACCCACAUACACAAGACCUUAAGCAGCAAAAUCCCCUAAUGAUAUUUGGCCCCAAGUCAGAAUGCAUUAUGCACCUCCUGUAGUCAGAGCCAAAAAAUCUCAGAAGAAACCUUGGCACCAUGCAAAAGGUCCCUUUUUAGCAUCAGCUGUCCCCUUUGCAGUUUGUUAAAGCUGGAGGAGUAUUAAUCCAGGUGAAAUCUCAUUCGGGAGACUCUUGGUAAGGAAGCUACAAGAAGGGGUGGGAGGGGACGGCUGCACGGGGAAGGAACACUGCAGCAGGUUAGGCUAUUCAGAACGAGCUAUUUUCUCCCAAAUCCUGUAAUUGCCUGGAGCAUGUGAUCUUCUUGAAGGUCAUUAAAGACAUGCUGCUGUCAGAUUCCUCCCAGAAAGUUCCUGCUUUGAUUAGUUUGCCAAUGCUUAUUUCCUAAAAGGCUCUUUUUGUCCCUUGGAGAAGAAAAAAAAAAAAAUGAGGAGCAUUAAAAUUUCAAAAAAGGAAUUAGAUGAAUAACCUGCUAAAUGUAGCCCAAAAAGAUGAAAGGAAAUAGCAACGAUGAAAAUGGCCCUGACCUUCCUGGGGUCCCUGCUGGAUGGAUGCUGCAUGGUCAGCCAAUCCCCUUCCCGGAAAAGGAGGUGACUCGGGGGUGCGCAACGUCAAUCAUCUUCUACGCAACUGCUCAGCCUUUGACCUGAACACGACCACAUAUAUCAUUGGUAAAGCCCGCAUGAGCAUCCUAUGGCCUUGGGGGCAUUUAUAGACCCCAAAAGGUUAAAAACAAAAACAAAAACCUCUCCUUGUCUGUAAGCAUUCAGGUGUGUAGAGAAGAAUCUUCCAGGACUUAGUGGAAUGAACAAGCGGAGCUGUCCAGCGACAAUGAUUAAACCUAGCUCACAAUGCCAGGGUUUUUCAAAUUAAAGAAGGAAAUCAAAGUAUUUCCCCCCAACACAAUAAGAUGGAGCCAGUUUUUCUUGUAUCAAAGGCCCCUUUUGUCCUCACCACAUCUGCAGAUUUGUGUGAGUCACAGGCAGGCCUGAUGCCGUCAUUAUCUUCCCAAUCCAUAGACACACUGGUUGCCAAAACUUCGCCUGCAAUCCGGAC
RNAcentral lists this long non-coding RNA (5235 nucleotides) under Sus scrofa (pig). RNAcentral describes it as "lncRNA (ENSSSCG00060071359.1)". The record is from RNAcentral. Lineage: Eukaryota; Metazoa; Chordata; Mammalia; Artiodactyla; Suidae.